GGCCAGACUCCUACGGGAGGCAGCAGUGGGGAAUAUUGCACAAUGGGGGAAACCCUGAUGCAGCGACGCCGCGUGAGCGAUGAAGUAUUUCGGUAUGUAAAGCUCUAUCAGCAGGGAAGAAGAUGACGGUACCUGACUAAGAAGCCCCGGCUAACUACGUGCCAGCAGCCGCGGUAAUACGUAGGGGGCAAGCGUUAUCCGGAUUUACUGGGUGUAAAGGGAGCGUAGACGGCGAUGCAAGCCAGAUGUGAAAGCCCGGGGCCCAACCCCGGGACUGCCCUUGGAACUGUGCGGCUAGAGUGCGGGAGGGGCAGGCGGAAUUCCUGGUGUAGCGGUGAAAUGCGUAGAUAUCAGGAGGAACACCGGCGGCGAAGGCGGCCUGCUGGACCGCGACUGACGUUGAGGCCCGAAAGCGUGGGGAGCAAACAGGAUUAGAUACCCCGGUAAG
RNAcentral lists this ribosomal RNA (448 nucleotides) under uncultured bacterium. Its description in RNAcentral is "partial 16S ribosomal RNA". It matches the Rfam family "Bacterial small subunit ribosomal RNA", at positions 329 to 793 of the family's 1533-position model. The record is from RNAcentral.